GAACACAGUUCAAAGACGUCUAAAACCAGGCUCCACUACCACACCACACAUCAGGCGAUACACACAAGUAAAGUCCUGAACGGCGGCCAGACCAUACAAAGCAUUACCACAAACUGAAAACAAAGGACAAGUCUGCAAGGAAAUAACGCUAUUUAUUACAGCCAAGAUCACAAGGCUAUUCAUUACGCUAUUUAUUACGCUAUUUAUUUAUUACGCUAUUCUUUGAUUUCAGGAGUCAGAGUUCUCCUACAACAAAGCUCCUUUUACGUUUUUUCGACAAUUUAUAAUUAAUUCCUACAAAUCAAAGUGUGAAACAAGAACUUGUGCAAUUUUGCAACCAAUAAUAUGUUAGUCCCAAAAAAUAAUAUAAAGUUGUAGUAAAAUGAUUGUAAAACAUCCAAGAAAGAUAAUAUACCAGCAUGAAACAAGCAAAAAUUAUAGAUACGUUGAAGACGUAUCAGCAUCCCCAAGCUUAAUUCAUGUUCGUCCUCGAGUAGGUAAAUAAUAAAAAUAAAUUUUUUAAUGUGGAAUGGUGCGUAGCAUGUUCAUUAAAUUCUUUUCUUCUUUGUAUAGCAUGGACAUUUGGACUUGUAAGAGAUUCAAAGCAAUAAUCUAGUUUUAACAUAAUGACUUCAAUACUCAAGCAUGUCAACAAGCAACCACUCGCAUCGGUAGAUAUGGUUGAGAUCUGCCUCAAUCAUCUCAAGGGAGGCCACGCCAUUUCCCAACACAGUGACGAUGGCCGAGAGGGAGGGCACAGGCGGUGGCACGUCGGGGAUCUCCAUGUGGAAGAACGCCAACCCCUCGAUGCCAUGGCCAUAGACCAUCAGCUCCUCUGACAUCUGCCGAUCCGGGGCAAAGAACGACGGGGUGACCGGCGUCCUUGUAGAGGUAGCACAUCGGCGGGUUAGGACAAGCCACUUGGAAGUGUAUGAAGAGGCCACAGCUGAAGCAAGGGGAGCCAUCCCCCGCGGUCGUGGCCGAGCUCUCGAUCACCGGGGCGGCAGGGGCAACGGUGCGGAGGGNN
This 1027-nucleotide long non-coding RNA is filed under the name Hordeum vulgare. RNAcentral describes it as "long non-coding RNA (HVUL_LNC018796)". Lineage: Eukaryota; Viridiplantae; Streptophyta; Magnoliopsida; Poales; Poaceae. The record is from RNAcentral.